AUUGAACGCUGGCGGAAUGCUUUACACAUGCAAGUCGAGCGGCAGCGCGGGGGCAACCCUGGCGGCGAGCGGCGAACGGGUGAGUAACAUAUCGGAACGUACCCCGUCGUGGGGGAUAACACAGCGAAAGCUGUGCUAAUACCGCAUACGACCUGAGGGUGAAAGCGGGGGAUCGCAAGACCUCGCGCGAUGGGAGCGGCCGAUAUCGGAUUAGCUUGUUGGUGAGGUAAAGGCUCACCAAGGCGACGAUCCGUAGCUGGUCUGAGAGGACGACCAGCCACACUGGAACUGAGACACGGUCCAGACUCCUACGGGAGGCAGCAGUGGGGAAUUUUGGACAAUGGGGGCAACCCUGAUCCAGCCAUUCCGCGUGAGUGAAGAAGGCCUC
This 388-nucleotide ribosomal RNA is filed under the name uncultured bacterium. RNAcentral's name for it is "bacterial SSU rRNA". It matches the Rfam family "Bacterial small subunit ribosomal RNA", at positions 29 to 418 of the family's 1533-position model. The record is from RNAcentral.